Gasterosteus aculeatus aculeatus (three-spined stickleback) is the source of this 644-nucleotide long non-coding RNA. Lineage: Eukaryota; Metazoa; Chordata; Actinopteri; Perciformes; Gasterosteidae. The record is from Ensembl.
CGGAGAUAUGAAGCAACACAUCUGUAACUCCCACAGAAUGGGGGCAUCUCGCCACCAUAAGCGCCAUGCUGAGCCAGGUGACAGAACUCCCGCUACGGAAAUCCAAUCAGGCCAAUCCUCCACGAUCCCUUACAAUCCUCUCAGCCGCCGCCGUACACCGCAAGCCAUCGAUUGAGACACAGAGGAAGAGUUUCCAAGGGCAAACAUGUGAUCUUUAUUCAAGCCGAAAGGCAAGCGGGAAUGCUUCAGAAUUACUGUCGAGGUUACGGAGAACCAAAUGUGUGAUGCCGCAUUAUGGAUGCAAAUCCAACAUCCCCCAUCACUACCUUCAUGAGAGCAGCUGGAAAAAGGGCAGCAGGAGAGAUGGAGUUUCAACGACAUUGAAUGCAAUGCUGGUUUGCUAGAAGUUUCUCAUUAAAAGUUAGAAGGGAUUUUUGGAACGAGCCCAGAAUUAAAACAACCCAUUUACCCUCUAAGUGUGGCGUGACAGGUGGCGUUCCUAACAUACUGAUACAUGCUUUAUAACUCAUACAUAAGCUUUAUGCAAUCAAAGGUUUUGAUCCGCAUCCAGCAAUAUCAUUUAAAAUGAUUUACACACAGUGUUUUGCCCCUGUGUUUCAAAAGAGGCAAUUAUGCUGGUAUCG